This 497-nucleotide ribosomal RNA is filed under the name uncultured bacterium. RNAcentral describes it as "partial 16S ribosomal RNA". It matches the Rfam family "Bacterial small subunit ribosomal RNA", at positions 28 to 507 of the family's 1533-position model. The record is from RNAcentral.
GACGAACGCUGGCGGCGUGCCUAAUACAUGCAAGUUGAGCGCUGAAGGUUGGUACUUGUACCAACUGGAUGAGCAGCGAACGGGUGAGUAACGCGUGGGGAAUCUGCCUUUGAGCGGGGGACAACAUUUGGAAACGAAUGCUAAUACCGCAUAAAAACUUUAAACACAAGUUUUAAGUUUGUAAGAUGCAAUUGCAUCACUCAAAGAUGAUCCCGCGUUGUAUUAGCUAGUUGGUGAGGUAAAGGCUCACCAAGGCGAUGAUACAUAGCCGACCUGAGAGGGUGAUCGGCCACAUUGGGACUGAGACACGGCCCAAACUCCUACGGGAGGCAGCAGUAGGGAAUCUUCGGCAAUGGACGAAAGUCUGACCGAGCAACGCCGCGUGAGUGAAGAAGGGUUUCGGAUCGUAAAACUCUGUUGGUAGAGAAGAACGUUGGUGAGAGUGGAAAGCUCAUCAAGUGACGGUAACUACCCAGAAAGGGACGGCUAACUACGUG